GGAAGACCAAGGGUUCCUGUCCAACGUUAAUCGGGGCAGGGUGAGUCGACCCCUAAGGCGAGGCCGAAAGGCGUAGUCGAUGGGAAACAGGUUAAUAUUCCUGUACUUGGUGUUACUGCGAAGGGGGGACGGAGAAGGCUAUGUUGGCCGGGCGACGGUUGUCCCGGUUUAAGCGUGUAGGCUGGUUUUCCAGGCAAAUCCGGAAAAUCAAGGCUGAGGCGUGAUGACGAGGCACUACGGUGCUGAAGCAACAAAUGCCCUGCUUCCAGGAAAAGCCUCUAAGCAUCAGGUAACAUCAAAUCGUACCCCAAACCGACACAGGUGGUCAGGUAGAGAAUACCAAGGCGCUUGAGAGAACUCGGGUGAAGGAACUAGGCAAAAUGGUGCCGUAACUUCGGGAGAAGG
This 405-nucleotide ribosomal RNA is filed under the name Escherichia coli. RNAcentral's name for it is "partial 23S ribosomal RNA". It matches the Rfam family "Bacterial large subunit ribosomal RNA", at positions 1339 to 1746 of the family's 2925-position model. The record is from RNAcentral. Lineage: Bacteria; Pseudomonadati; Pseudomonadota; Gammaproteobacteria; Enterobacterales; Enterobacteriaceae.